UACGUAGGGGCUAGCGUUAUCCGGAAUUACUGGGCGUAAAGGGUGCGUAGGUGGUUUCUUAAGUCAGAGGUGAAAGGCUACGGCUCAACCGUAGUAAGCCUUUGAAACUGGGAAACUUGAGUGCAGGAGAGGAGAGUGGAAUUCCUAGUGUAGCGGUGAAAUGCGUAGAUAUUAGGAGGAACACCAGUUGCGAAGGCGGCUCUCUGGGCCAGUACUGACGCUGAGGAGCGAAAGCGUGGGGAGCAAACAGGAUUAGAUACCCUGGUAGUCCCUGAG
Molecule: ribosomal RNA, 276 nt
Filed under: uncultured prokaryote
Description: partial 16S ribosomal RNA
Rfam family: Bacterial small subunit ribosomal RNA
Source: RNAcentral